UAACCUCUCCUUCUCCUCUCUCGCGGCAUCGACUUCCUCUCGGGCGAAACCGCAGCCGAAGCUAGGGCUUCGUCUCUGGCGCCAGCCAAGGGGCGUUUUCACGAGAUCUUCACACCGUCGAGAUCCUCUCGUCAAGGAGGAGCUGUAGGCACGAGGAAGAGGCCGAGAUCUUCACUCCUCCGGGAACCCUAGAAGCCCCCUUGCGUUCGGUUGUAGGUUUAAGAAGAGAUAAAGGAAGAUGACGAGGAGGUGCGGAUGGUGUGUGAUGCCAGGACUAUGGGAGAGACUUGGGAUGUUGUUGAGUUUUUCGUAUUGUAGUGAUUAAUAAACAUUGAGAAUGUAUUUUGAGUUCCAUGUCAUUUGAAUUGUUUUAUCGUGUUUUGUAAAAGUUGGUUAUUUUGAUUAUAUAUGAACUGCGUGGGUGUUUGAUAUA
Molecule: long non-coding RNA, 433 nt
Organism: Zingiber officinale
Lineage: Eukaryota; Viridiplantae; Streptophyta; Magnoliopsida; Zingiberales; Zingiberaceae
Exons: 2
Source: RefSeq, a predicted model, not a curated record